Molecule: long non-coding RNA, 3518 nt
Organism: Mesocricetus auratus (golden hamster)
Lineage: Eukaryota; Metazoa; Chordata; Mammalia; Rodentia; Cricetidae
Exons: 4
Source: RefSeq, a predicted model, not a curated record
UUGAGCAAGAAAGACUGUCAGUCAAGUAGUCCGCCAGCUUCUGUUUGGAUGAUUCCAAGAUGCCUCGAGACAACUAUGCAAAAGUUUCUGGCUGAUUGCCCAGACUCUUGAAAGUACCGCCCGAGGCAAGGCUGUUUAAAACAGGUUUGUCUCCAGCUUUUGUAGCCACAAGCCUCACUGGACCAUUUCCACCUUGGCCAGAGAAGAAACAGGACCCAUUGUAGAAGGACUAAGCCCAUGGCAAAGCAGUGAAAGAGGCAAGACUGUGAUUGGGGCCAGGGAGAAGACUGACGGGGCUAGGAACAAGGCUGCCAUUGGGGCCAGAGGGAAUACUAUUAUUGAUGUUAGAGGAAAGCCUGUGACUGGCCAAACAAACGCGUGGAACCCGGACCCUUGCACUGGCUGGACAGCGCUCUCUUGAACUCCACCCCGACCAGUUCUGUUUCUUAGUCCUCUGCUAUUGAGAAACUAGCAUCUCAAGGUUCACUGCACUCAGGAAGAGAUCCUACGGCCCCGGCCAUGCAGAAGCUGAAGCGUGCCCGGCAUCGAUGGCAUAAGAAGCCAAGAGAGGAGCUGAUGCUCCCUGACCCUGCAGAAGCUAGACUGAGACACCAGCUGUGGUUCCUCUUUUGCACAUCUGGCAAGGUAACAACACAGUGGCCUUGAGAGAAGUAACUGCUGCAGACCCUGAAGAACGCCUGCAAACCAAAGCUGGCUGACAAGCCAGAGGUCUGUCCUCUGUGCUCUGCACUGCCCCAGGACUCCCAAGACUUGUGUCACCAGGCUGGUGCUAACCACGUGCUUAUUAACAUGGGAGCCAGUCAAAGCAGUCAAAAAAGUCUCAGCGGUCAUGCACUUGAAAGCAAAGUUUUAAGUGAUGUGAGGCAAAAACCAAGAGACCUGAAACAAAGAAACCCGAUCACAGUGAUAUCUAGAGACCACGUCUGUCAGGACAUAGGCCUGGGAAACAUCCUUUCAUGUUCUCUGUUGGGGGGAUCCAAGAGGCUCCCAAAACAAUGUAAGCUGUUGUCCGUGCCCUUGGCUGCCUCCCAGAACUUGAAACACCACAUGGUUCAGACACAGGACUGGAAGCUUCCUCUCUGGGGACUGACUCUCACCGCAUCAGGAGGUACUACGCAAGCUGCCAAGGGAGAGGAGCAUUCAAUAGUCUAACCCAACCAGAAAACCUAUGACCAACCUGGCAAGAUAUCCCUAAGAGCGCAACAGUGGCACUUACAUCUUGAGGAUAACCAAAAGCCGUCAAACUGGAUUUAGGGCCCUUUCCAUAGGUUCCAUAGGAGGGAAUUCACACUUGGUAGCAUAAACCCAGACAUCUACCCACGACCAGUGAGGCCACAAAUCCUAAAGAAGAACCUAUAACAUCCACCUUCCUAAACUAGUAUAAUUUCUAACAGCAUUAUAAAUACUUACACGGGUAAGUGUAGUUUCCACCCCCAACAUCAAAAAUGCUCUUUUUGUACCAGACAGACAGCAUCAUAAAAAUCCACAGCUGGUCAAAAUACGAAGAACACUAACUGUGAGGUACUCAAGCCCAGUCAUACAUCGGUUAUAACCCUUAUAUCUAAUAGUUAAGGAACAUUCCAGAAGACAAGGGAAGAUUGUAAGAGCCAAAGGACCAGGCUAUCUGCGGCAAGAUAGUAUCUUCCUUACAUGACAGGGAAGCCCCACAUGUGAAAUCUUAAACCAAUACAGCCACCUAAACAAGACCUGCCCAAUGGCAACACCAGUUGACAUGUCAACAUGGAUGAGGGAAAUCUCACAAGGCCCCAGUCUUGGAUGAAGAGCUACUGGCAAUUAGCGGUUGCUGAGAGGGAGAAUUGAUCUUCUCCAGGGACAUGCCAAUACCAAAUGGUUAGUUCCCUAAACACACAUAUCUAUGAGCAACACUAAAUGCACUCAACAGGUUGUAUGAAUGCAUGCAAUGAACCAUUACUAGAUGACAAUUGUGUGUGUGUGUGUGUGUGAUUUCUUUAAAAAUGUCACAAUAAAACAGCUUAGCAUGAAGACGUCUUUAGGUUCUCAAACAUGAGUUCUCAGGUAGCCUUCUCUGGACACAAAGCACAAGCAGACAUUAAGGGAGAAAGGAAGCCACAUAGAUAAAAAAAAAAACCUGUCCUCUGUAGGAGGGAGAAGGAGCAGCCUCCCCCUGCACAGGCUUCUCUGCACAUUCAUGCCCUGCUUUGCCGUCUACCACAGCCAGGUGGUCUGACAGCCGCUCAGCCUGCUUCCUCUGCCGUUUCUAGCUCUUCCUGUCUAGAGACCCAUCACACCUCCUUCGAUAAUCAGAAACCUCUUAAGAGACCGGCCAGCUCCCUGUACGUUGUGCCUGGAUAUUAUUUGCUUCAGAGAGUUAAAGCAAAGCCUCUGUUUAGAUCUGGCCCUACGCCCCAGCUGCAGUCUAGCUUCUCCAGGGCAUCUCACUAAGCAUGACUGAGAACCAGCUCACAUUAGUGACUUUGAGUCCCGUUGAUUUGAAAGAGCUGGGGUGAAUAAGGAUGGGGUGACUGGAUGUUGGGAGGGCAACUUCCACUCCCGCAGCCCCACCACCGUGUAGAUAUUAUUGACCUGCCAUAGAAAUGCCCCCUUGAUUUCUAUCUCACAACUGGAAACUAGAAAAAGAAAACCCUGCAUACUAUUGUGAAUUAUUUAGACAAUGCAACCUGUAACAUAUAAGCGGGACAUUGUCUUAGUGUGUAUGUGUUCAUAUGUUUGUGCAUGUUCCUUUGUAUGCACAUGUAUGUUUAUGUAGGCUCAUAGGAAGACCAGAGGACAGCCUCCAAUGUCGUUCCUCAGGUGCGAUCAGCCUUUUGUUUCUUUGUUUGUUUGUUUUUUGGGGACUGGUUCUCUCUGUGUAGCCCUGGCUGGCCUUGGACACCCUAUGUAGAAGAGGCUGGCCUUGAACUGACAGACAUCCACAUACCACCCCCCUAAUGCUGCGGUUAAAGGUCUGAGUCAAUCAUGCCCAGCAUUUUCCUGAUAACUUUUUUUCUUUUGUAGGAAAAUGCUAAAACAUCAAGGAAGUUACACUUUCAAGAUAAAGUUGGAUUUGAAGGAGGAACAGCCAGAAUCCUUCCCAUCUAUUGAAGGAUUUGAGAAAUUUCUUUCUUGUGGGGUGUGUGUGUGUGUGUGUGUGUGUGUGUGUGUGUGUGUGUGUGUGUGUGUCCCCAUGGUGCUCCUUCAUGUGCAUGUCUGUGCGGAGGCCAGAGGAUAAUCUUGGGUAUUAUACCUCAGGUACUGGCCAUCUCUUUCUCUUUCUUUCUUUCUUUCCUUCUUUCUUUCUGAGAUGGGACCCAUCACCUAGAAUUUGUCCGGCAGAACAGGCUGUCGCCAGGGCCAUCUGUGUCUUGGCUAGGCCUGGGAUUACAAUUAUCUGUCACCAUACUGGCUUUUACAUUUUUUUUCUGGGGAUGGAACUUUUUUCCUCCUUGUACGUUUGCUUUAUUGACUGUGUAUCUCUAAUACUGUCUCUGCCAUAUUAAUUAAAUAAUUGACAUCUA